UACGGGGGGGGCAAGCGUUGUUCGGAAUUACUGGGCGUAAAGGGCUCGUAGGUGGUCAACUAAGUCGGACGUGAAAUCCCUCGGCUUAACCGGGGAACUGCGUCCGAUACUGGAUGACUUGAGUACGGUAGAGGGGGAUGGAAUUCCGCGUGUAGCAGUGAAAUGCGUAGAUAUGCGGAGGAACACCGAUGGCGAAGGCAAUCCCCUGGACCUGUACUGACGCUCAUGCACGAAAGCGUGGGGAGCAAACAGG
Molecule: ribosomal RNA, 253 nt
Filed under: uncultured bacterium
Lineage: Bacteria
Description: partial 16S ribosomal RNA
Rfam family: Bacterial small subunit ribosomal RNA
Source: RNAcentral